Capsicum annuum is the source of this 108-nucleotide non-coding RNA. NCBI's taxonomy places the organism in Eukaryota, Viridiplantae, Streptophyta, Magnoliopsida, Solanales, Solanaceae. The record is from Rfam.
UCAUCAUGGUUUGGGCAUUUGGCCAACAUCCUAUGAAAUCUCUCCCAUACUUCAUGAAGUGGCUCCCCGUUCUUUUGUAAAAAAUUCAAAAUUUCAUCUCUUGAGUCA